GGGACGCUGGUUGGGCACCCGCUUACUGGUGUGGAUUUAGGUCUCCUCGCGUGGCUCUCCUCUGGCGAUGCGUGCAGUUCUUUGGGUCCCUGGGUGGAGUUGUGUUUACGGUUAGGGGAAACCCCUCCUUGGGGAAACCCCUCCGUCACCAGCGCUCUGCAGCCGGGACCCUUCGGGAGGGACACCCCGGCGAGGGGCGUGGAGGAAGGGAGUGCGCUGUGUGGCCGGACGGGGUUGGGCCUGGGGUCCCCGCGGGGAGCCCACUGUGGGUGCCCCUUGUCCAGGGUCUUUUCUAGGAGUCUGGGUCAGUGCCUCACGGCGUUUGGAGACUGGGGAUUCUUGGGUCACACUCACAGACAAGCCUUGAAAAUGGGAGCCGUUAAAUUUUGCUGGAGACAAGGAAUCUUCUGCAGAAAUACAGCUCCCAGCUAGAGUGAGGCCCGAGUACCACCUUGGCCCAGGAUGGCAAGAGAAUCGAGGCAACGCGCAGCCCUGGACGCCCAGUCUACAGAGGACCAGACGAGACUCCUGACCGUGAAGGUGGAGAAGGAGGAAGCCUCCGCCUUAGCAGAAGAGACCUGUUUGCCCGGCAGUCCGGCACCGGGCCGCGAGCGCUCCCGCCAGCGCUUCCGGGGCUUCCGCUACCCAGAGGCUGCAGGGCCCCGCGAGGUGCUGGGCCGGCUCCGGGAGCUCUGCUGGCAGUGGCUGCAGCCUGAGAUGCACAGCAAGGAACAGAUCCUGGAGCUGCUGGUGCUGGAGCAGUUCCUGACCAUCCUGCCGGGGGCGCUGCAGAGCUGGGUGCAGGAGCAGCAUCCAGAGAGUGGGGAGGAGGUGGUGGUUCUGUUGGAGUAUUUGGAGAGGCAGCUGGAUGAGCCGAGGCAGCAGGUCCCAGGUGGUGACCGAGGGCAAGAACUGCUCUAUUGCAAGAUGGCACUGUUGACAGGAGCCCAGGGGUCACAAAGUAGCCAAUUCCAGCCGAUGAAGGCUCUGCUCAAGCAUGAAUCUUUGAGGUCCCAGCCCUUACAAGAAAGAGUUCUCUGGGUUCCUGGUCUUGCCCAGGGUGGAAGCUGCAAAGAAGACACAGUGGUAGCUGCCAGGCUCAUCCCAGAGUCCCAGGGGUUGCUGAAAGUGGAAGAUGUGGACCUGACCCUCUCCCCUGGGUGGCCACAGCUGGACUCAUCUCAGGCAAACCUCUACAGAGACGAGAGGCAGGAGAACUGUGGCAGCCUCAUCUCCCUGGGUGGUGAAAUACAGACUAAGAUCAGCAACUUGCCUCCUGAAGAUGAAAAUCUAGUACGAGAGCCUCGGGAGCUCCCAUGCCACCUGGGUGAAGACAUUGCCAAGAUUCCUCCAUGUGCAGAAGCUGGUGAACAGGAGGCCAGGGUACACAGAAAGCAGAAAAAUGCCACAGGAAGUAGGCGGCACUACUGCCAUGAAUGUGGAAAGAGUUUUGCUCAGAGUUCAGGCCUGAGUAAACACAGGAGAAUCCAUACUGGGGAGAAACCCUAUGAAUGUGAGGAGUGUGGCAAGGCCUUCAUUGGGAGCUCUGCCCUUGUCAUUCAUCAGCGUGUCCACACUGGUGAGAAGCCAUAUGAAUGUGAAGAAUGUGGCAAGGCUUUCAGUCAUAGCUCGGAUCUUAUCAAACACCAGAGAACCCACACUGGGGAGAAGCCCUAUGAGUGUGAUGACUGCGGAAAGACCUUUAGCCAGAGUUGCAGCCUCCUUGAACAUCACAGAAUCCACACUGGGGAGAAGCCCUACCGGUGCGACAUGUGUGGCAAAGCCUUUAGGCGGAGUUCACAUCUGCUGAGACAUCAGAGGAUCCAUGGUGGGGAUAAAAACAUGCAGGAUUCUGAACUUGGAGACACCUGGGAAAGUCAGGGCAGAAUGGAAAACCAGUGGGAAAAUGCUGAGGCUCCCAUAUCUUAUAAAUGUAAUGAGUGUGACAGAAGUUUCACUCGGAAUAGAAGCCUCAUUGAACAUCAAAAAAUUCAUACUGGUGAGAAACCCUAUCAGUGCAAUGCAUGUGGAAAAGGCUUCACCCGAACAUCAUACCUUGUUCAACAUCAGAGAAGCCACGUUGGGAAAAGAAUUCUAUCACAGUGAGCCAUGUAGUACAUGCCAAAGGUGGUGCUCAUUCCCCAUGGGACCGAAGCCACCCUGGAGCUCCUCCUGACUCCAGAAAUUAUCAGCAGAAACAUCACACAUUUUGAAUAAAAGGAACAGAGACGGUACUAAAUGUGAAAAGCAGCCUAUGGAGCCCUAAAUUCUACUGGCAGGAAGCAGAAUGAAAGAAGUAUGCAACAACAAACACAGUUUUCCCAGGUGUUGCCAUCAAGAGGGUAGAGAGACCGGUUAUGUGAGAAGAGAUGGAAACCUCAGAGAUGGCACGAGGCUCCUGAGCUCUCCUCCAACGCCUCCUCCACCCAGGAUCCUGGCCCCUGUGGAGUCCAGGGCUGUUGAAAGGAAUCUUCAUCGCCACAUUGAUGCCUAGACUCUGGGUCAGCUAUCUCUGCCAGCCUUACCGCGCAAACCCCUCCACAGCUACUCAGACUUCAAGAGAGCAGAGCGCAUGCGCCCCCAUAUGGCCACAGGGCUAAGGACGGAAGACCACAGAUUCAUUUCGCCUCCCCACGUGAUUCCCCCUUUUGGUUUUCUCCAUCAUUUUUGUUUCCCACUUGGUCUAUUACUAUCCCAAAGAAGGAAAUAUGGCAAGUAAAGUACUGAAAAUCUAAAUAUCUGAAAACUUCUUUAGGCUACUUUGCCACUUAUAUUUCAUUUACAAUUCUGUGUCGGAAAUAAUUUUCCUCCGAAUCUGGAAGGCAUUUCUUCAAUGUCUUCCAGCUUUCAGAGACAUUGCUUUUUGUUCCCUCUUUUUAUUUUCAGGAUCUCUUCUUUUCCAUCCUCUUUUUGAAAUUUCAUUGUUAUGUAUCUUAGUGUGGAUCUCUUUUCAUCUAAUAAGAAUUUGAUUGGGCAUAUUUAAACUAUAAACUUUUAUCUGUAAUUUGUAAGACACUUAUUUUAAUUAUUUUAAAUCAUUUCCAACUCUCAAUUCUUUUUGAAACUUAUGUUACGAGGUUGUGUUGGAAUUGCUUGAUUUACAGUAUAAGAUUCUUGUAGUUUUCUCUCGUUUGCCAUCAAUUUUCCAUUUUGUACUGCUCUGUCAAAGUGUGACAUGUUGUAAUUCAUCUAUUUUUUUUCAUUUCUAUGAUCAUAUUUUAAUUUCCAAGACCUCUUCAUUGUUUUCUGUUUGUAUUUGACUGUAUUUUUUUAAUUUGUUAUUGUUUCAUAAAUGUCACAUAUUUUCUUACAUCAUUUAGAAAUUAGUGAUAAUAGUGACAGGAGACCUGUGAGGUCUCAUGGUUAUCUGCUUUCAUAAUAUCAUGAACUUUUCCCUCUCAGCACUUAGCUCAGUAGUGAUUUUACAUUUAUCUUUGUAAUUUUUUUUUUUAAUAAAUGCUGGUUAUGUAUUAAAUUGUGUCCUCCAAAAUUAUGUAUUGCCAAUCCUAACCUCUGUGCCUGUGGUUAUAAUUGUAAUUCCUAAAAGAGAAAUUUGUGUCAAUAUGCAAGCACAUUGAAAUUGUCUUUAUUACAUUAAUGAGACAGGAUUAGUGUAUGGUCUAUCUUGAGUCAAUCUCUUACAAAUAUAAAGAGAGCAGAUUAGGAGGCAAGGCCAAGACGGCAGCGUAGACAGAUGCUUCUGGUGAUCCCUCUUACAACAAAGACCUGAAAAGACAAGUGAAACAAUUUUACUUAUGACAAGCUAGGAGCCCUGAACAUCAAAGGCAAAGUUAGAAAAUGGACUGAGCAGCAGGCAGAGGGAGAGACGGUUCAGAAGUGGAGAGUUGCCAGAGCUGAAUCGUCAGAAACCCUCAGGCAGCAUUCCUGAGACUGACUGCAAGGGGUUGGUGGUAGUGUUUGGCCAGAGUUUCCUCAGGGAGAAACUGGCAGCUGCACAGCCUAGUUGCACCUCCAGAACCAGAAAAGAAUGGCACUCUUGGCAAAAGCUAAGUACUUGAGUAUAUUUUACUGUGGCCCCAGCCCCCAAGCCGGUUCCAGUGGCUGUUGAUUUCCCUGGGCCUGAGAUAGGCUCUGCUGAGUGCUCUGAGCCAUUCUCCCAGCCUUGGAGAAGGGAUAAAUUCACAACUGCGGGAAAAGAUAAUCUGCCAGGUCCACUAAACUGUGGACCUGAGGACAGAAGCGGCUCCUGUCAGGCAUAAAGGGUCCAUGGACUUUGAAUACCUCCCCCUCCCGCAUGGACCUGUGUGGGCCUAGUUCAGGAGAAUAAGCCCUUAUUGGCAGACUGCAACUCUUUCAGCUGUAUGGUAGCGAGGUGGGCAUUUGAAAUUUGACACUGCUCUGCCUAUUAAACAGUGUCCUCGGCUACCCACAUCAGGGGCCUAAGGAAUGGUGUCUCCACUCAGGUCACCCAGCCACCUGUGACAGGGGUCCAAGGAAAACGGGUACCUCCCAGUCCUUACAACCAAAAGCAUUGGGUGCCCAUGGUCCAUCUGCAGAACUGACCCACCUGUGUGUUCUAGGGAACAGGGACAUACUUUCCUCAUAGACACUCAGGGGACAGCUGUCAGCCCUCUGCUUUGUUCAGGGUGUGACCCUGCUGCAAUCAGAUACCUAUGCCUACACCAAUCACCCCUGCCCCUCUAAGACUGUAGGACAGAGCCUGUACCACACACUUGAUGACCAACUACCUAGACACCUGAGCUAAAUCCAUACAAGAAAAGUGAAUGGACUCCUAGGCUUAUAUACCUGAUAACAGCUCUAGCCAUCUGGUGACAGGACAUUAGAGCUUCAAACGUGAAAAUAAUCAAGCUGGCCCACUCAAACAAGCUGUUUGAACAUAUCGAAACUAAACAAAGCAAGAAGCUAGGAUACAGUAAGCAAACAUAAAUAAUGCAAUAACUUAUAGAUGGCUCGGAAACAAUGGUCAAUAUCAAAUCACAAAAAGCAUGAUUGCUUCAACAAGCUCUCAAAACAAAGAAUCAAGGGAUCUUCUGGAUGAAGGUGCCUUCCUGGAAUUACCAGAUGCAGAAUACAAAAGAUUAACAUACAGAAUUCUUCAACAUAGCAGGAAGGAGAUCAGGCAAUAUGCAGAACAAGCCAAAGAACAUGAAAAGCAGUUGAAGAAAUUAAAAAGGUUAUUCAAGAACAUAAGGAAAAAUUUAAUAAGCUGCAAGAAUCCAUAGAGAGACAAAAAUCCAUAGAGAGACAGCAAUCAGAAAUUCAGAAGAUUAACAAUAAAAUUAUAGAAUCAGACA
This is an RNA transcript of Loxodonta africana (African savanna elephant), 5276 nucleotides long. It is a transcript of the gene named zinc finger protein with KRAB and SCAN domains 4-like, with no coding region annotated. The record is from RefSeq and is a predicted model, not a curated record. The transcript has 8 exons. NCBI's taxonomy places the organism in Eukaryota, Metazoa, Chordata, Mammalia, Proboscidea, Elephantidae.